CACCGGAAGGCCUCCCGCGAAGUGAAGCUUUACCCCACGACUAGAGCGCUUCCGAGAUCUACAAGUAGUUCACCGGAAGUUCUCCCGCCGGAGAUGAUGUCUUCCGCCCCCUCCCUGCCUCCCCUCCCCAUCUCAAACCCACCUGCCGCCUCCGCCGCCCCCGUCGCCCCCUCCUCCGCCGCCCCCGUCGCCACUCCCGCCUUCCGCCUCUUCCUCUCCCGCCUCUCGGACUCCGUCGGCCGCUCCCUCUCCAACCGCCGCCCCUGGUCGGAACUCGCCGACCGAUCUGCCUUCUCCCGUCCGGAUUCCCUCUCCGACGCCUCCUACCGCCUGCGCAAGAACCUCACCUACUUCCGCGUCAACUACGCCGCUGUCGUCGCCGCCGUCCUCGCCAUCUCCCUCAUCACCAACCCCUUCUCUCUCGUCGUUCUCCUCGCCCUC
This 441-nucleotide long non-coding RNA is filed under the name Musa acuminata (dwarf banana). RNAcentral's name for it is "long non-coding RNA (MACU_LNC002572)". Lineage: Eukaryota; Viridiplantae; Streptophyta; Magnoliopsida; Zingiberales; Musaceae. The record is from RNAcentral.